RNAcentral lists this long non-coding RNA (201 nucleotides) under Gossypium barbadense (sea-island cotton). RNAcentral's name for it is "long non-coding RNA (GBAR_LNC019992)". The record is from RNAcentral. Lineage: Eukaryota; Viridiplantae; Streptophyta; Magnoliopsida; Malvales; Malvaceae.
UCGUUAGGAACUAGUUGUUCAAUGACAUAUAAUUUUCUUUCUUGUUUGAGGACAAUCCUCAAGUUAUGGAACCAAUCAAGAAAAUUUAAACCAUUCAACUUGUCCUUCUCAAGGAACGAUCAUAAUAAGAUUGUAUUAGUGUUUGCAGCCAUAAUAUAUCUACAAUAAUAAAAUUAUGCGUGUGAAAAUUUAUCAAAUUUA